This 253-nucleotide ribosomal RNA is filed under the name uncultured bacterium. RNAcentral's name for it is "partial 16S ribosomal RNA". It matches the Rfam family "Bacterial small subunit ribosomal RNA", at positions 524 to 776 of the family's 1533-position model. The record is from RNAcentral.
UACGGAGGGAGCUAGCGUUGUUCGGAAUUACUGGGCGUAAAGCGCACGUAGGCGGCUUUGUAAGUUAGAGGUGAAAGCCUGGGGCUCAACUCCAGAAUUGCCUUUAAGACUGCAUCGCUUGAACACGGGAGAGGUGAGUGGAAUUCCGAGUGUAGAGGUGAAAUUCGUAGAUAUUCGGAAGAACACCAGUGGCGAAGGCGGCUCACUGGACCGUUGUUGACGCUGAGGUGCGAAAGCGUGGGGAGCAAACAGG